GGGAAAUGGCUCAACUAGCUUACCACACAUCUAGGGAUAAAUCAGCUGUUACUCCAUUUAUGAAGGCUUCUAAAAGGGUUGGAAGAUUUCGUGAUGGUGGAAAAGGAGAUGAUAUUACUGUCAUUGUUUCCCACAUUCUUGGUGCAUAGUAGCUGUCUUUUUUAUAAUCAACUUAGCUCCAGUUAAGAUUGGAUUUAUAUUUUAGAAUUAGUGUUGAUAGGAUAGAGGAAACUGAUGUCAUAUGCAGCGAGGUGUUCUUCAUGGUGGUAAAUCUUAAAGGCAGCUAUAGCCUAAAAGGCAUAAUAAUUGUAAUAGCCAAUUUUGGCCUAAACCCAAAUCAAUAAAAAAAAACCAAAAAAAUAAUAAAAUAGUCCAAAAUGAAUGUCCAUUUACAUAUUAAACCCAGGCCUAAACUACCCAAACCCAACAAGCCCAAAAGUCUAGAAACCAUAAAGCCCAACUAGCCCACAAACAUUUUCAGCAGAAAAAGGGUUGGCAAACCCUAGCCGUAUGCCAUGUCGACACCCUUCUUUACCGCGCACGCCACCACCGUUCGAGGCACACCAACCACCAGUCUUGCACGCUUCUCUGUCACCUGCAAAGUAAAAACACACAAGGCAAAGGGACAAUGAAGAAAAGGACAAGAAGCAAUAGAAAACAACGAAGAAAACGAAAAAAAAUGGCAGAAAACAAAACGAAAGUUGAAAAAAAUGGAUCUCGUAUCCGGCUAUGAAACCUGAAACAUCAACUUUGUACUUUUUUUUACGCACAUUAAGCAAAUCAAAAAAGAAAUAAAACUGAAGUUAUAAGGUGUUUGUUUUGAUAUCUUUUUUUUUCUUCUUUCGUUUUCUGUUUGUAUUUUAUUUUUCUGUUUAUUUAUUUAUUUAUUUUUAUCUAUUUAAAAAAAAACAUAGAUUAAAAAGAAAAGAAAAAAGGGGCAUACCUGAGGGUUGCGCUCCACCAUCGUAAAAAUUCGAGGUAAUCACUUUCGAUGAAAGGUGGCCAGAAGUCGCGGGGUCCUUUGCUUAUCUGGGGAUUUUCGUUUGAAUAUUGGAAGUUUCAACUUAGAAACGAGCUUAAGGGGGUCAAAACGGUCGAAAUGGCUUUUUUGGGGGAUUUUGGCCAUUGUACACGGCGGUCACCGCCGUCGUCGGCCGGCGACUAUGACGGGCGGAUGGUGGCCCUAUAGGCCAAACAUGGGGGGAGUUUUGAGAGGAUGAGAGGUUUAGAGUUGAUUUUUUUGGUGUGAGGGUUGAAAAUGAAAGUUUUUAAAAAAAUUUGGGUUUAAAUAAUGAAGGCAAAACAACGUCGUUUUGGCCUCUGACCCGUGCGACCCGACCUAAUUGGUAGAGGAUCCGUGCGUUUUUAAGGCCAAAUGGGCUAUUUGCACUACGGGUCCUUCCAUUUUGCUACUUGUUUUCAAUUCGACCCUUUUGUUCUUUCUUUUGUGUUUUUAAUUUGACCCCAUGAUUUUUGCGCUCGUCUCAUUUUGGUCCUGAUUGAAACGAUGCGCAUAAGGGCUGGGAAUAUUUUCCCAAUCAGUCCCUCACUCUUUAAGCGCGUUUCAUUUCGGUCCUUGAUGGCCUAUUUUCUAUUAUUUACAAUUUGUACCUUAAAUUUCCAUUCGAUUUCAGCCUAGUCCUGGUCUGUUUAAUUAAUUAAUUAAUUUAUUUAUUCAGUUUUUUUUAGGAAUUGUUUUAUUAUUAUUUUUUUAAGUUUGUUUUCUUAUAUUAUUUAUUUUAAAUCGCUUUAUUAUUAUGUAUUUUAAGUCUUUACAUAUUUUAAACUAUUAUUCAUUUUAAAUUUUAUAUAUAUUAUUUAUUUUAAACUAUUAUACAUAUUAUUUAUUUUGAAGUUUUUUAUAUAUACCUUUUUAUUUUAAACUAUUUUAUAUAUUAUUUAUUUUAAAUUUCUUACAUGUCAUUUAGUUAUACUGUUUUAUAUGUUAACUAUUUUAAAUUCUUUUAUUAUUAUUUAUUUUAAGAUUUCCUAUAUUAUUCGUAUUAAACUGUUUUAUAUAUAUUUUUAUAUUAUUCAUUUUAAAAUUUAUUUUUCACAUAUUAUCUCUUUUAAACUCUUAUACGCUAUUUUAAAUUGUUUUAUAAAUUAUUUAUUUAAGUUGCUCUAUGUAUAUUAUUUCAUUAUUUUGUAUAUUAAUGAUUUUUAAUUGUUUUAUACUAUUUACUUUAAAUUGCUUUUUAUAGCAUCCAUUUUAAACCUUUUUAAAUUGUCUUAUACUAAUGAUGGUAUUUAAAUGAUGUAUGUUGUGUGAUUAUCAACAUGGCGUGUACUAUAAUUAUUUCAUUCAUAUUUCCAUAUUAUUAUCAUUUAUUAGCAUUCAUAUUUUAUUCCUCCGCGUUUAAUAUUAUCUUUUAGCUAUUUCAUUUAAAUUACAUCGUGUACUAAGCUCAAACGUAUUUGUCCAAUAUGGACCGUUUUAUUUCAUUCCAAACAAAAUAGCGCACAUUAUUAAGGGUUGCACUCGGAAAAUCUUCAAAAUAAGGCAAUAUUUCGCAUUUCAAGAGUUCAAGAAAUCGUACCAUAACUUACGGGGUUUUGAUUUUCUUGUUAAACCCUUUUGUAUUUCAAAAUACAUGAAGUUUCGAUAAAAAUUAAAGGCAAACUUGUUCCUGAGGAUUCAAACGUCGCAUCCUAACUUACGGGAUGUGGCAUUUUGUUAUAUCAGGACGAGAGGGCCUUUAAUGCUCGUUUCAAUUCAACUCAAGCAUUUUUAAUAGACGUUAAUAAAAAAUGGAUCGUAUUUUAAGACCUUUUCGAAUUUUCAACAUUCGACAUUAAGACAUUAAUUGAUCAAUUAGGUACCAAUUUUGGGCGUUGCGAGGGUGUUAAUCCUUCCUCAUAGUAACUGACUCUCGAACCUAUUUUCUAAAUUUCGUAGACCAAAAUUGUCGUUUUAAUAGGUUAAACUGUUUAUUAAAAUGAUCAAAUUGCAAGGUGAUCCAAUCACACCUCGUAAAAAAGAUUGGUGACAACUCCAUUUUCGUUUUUUCCGUUUUUAAAUAAAAGUCGAAUCCUAUUUUUCAAAAAAAAAAAGGUUUCGACAAUAAUAAUAAUGGGGGUUUUGGAGAUGUUUAUGAGUUCCUUUUAUGAGUCGGUAGUUAGAGCGGCUUCCCUCUCAACCUCUCUCUCCUGCUAGAGGUAUCCACCCUCACUAUAUUAUAAAACGGUUGAUUAUAUGUCACGUAAUAAUACAAAUUUAAAUUAACAGUUACAAUGUACCUGAGUAGGAAGAGCGAGAAGAAACAACCGAAUGAUGAAUCGAUAGUCGACAUUCAAGAAGAAAAACUGUUAAUAUCCAAGAAGGUGAUACAGAUGUCACCAUGGAAACUGACUUGUCCUUAGACAAACCUGGGUCAUAGAAAGAUCGCCUCAUGGGUAAAGGCCUGCGCUUUGAAGAUAAAACAGAAACACCAUCCAAAGAUGUCGAAGAAGACGACCUAGAAUUACUAGAAGAUUAUAUUAGAAAAACUUCAGUAAACGACAUACCAGCAAUUGAAUUCUCCAAACGAAUCACUCAACUUCUCAUAGAAGACAUGGAAUAUACGGUGGUAAUCAAACUCUUAGGAAGAAACAUUGGAUAUGCAACCUUUCAAAACAAGAUACAAGCUCUAUGACAACCGAGUCAACCAUUCAUAUUAAUGGAUAUCGAAAACGGCUACUACCUGGCUAAGUUUCAAAAUCCCGGAGAUUGUAAGAAAGUAUUAGGCCAGGGGCCUUGGAUAGUCUAUGGACAGUACCUAACUGUCCAACCCUGGACCAUUGAUUUUAACCCCUUGCAACCAUAUUCGAAUAUGGUCAUGGCCUGGAUACGAUUUCCUGGAUUGCCUAGACAUAUGUACAAAAGGAAAAUAUCAUGGGAAAUAGGAGGAAUGAUAGGAAAAGUAGUAAAAUUGGAUUUUAAUACUGAUAAUGGAGUCUGAGGAAGAUUUGUAAGAAAGGCAGUUUACGUUAACCUUGGAAAAGCCAUCAUAUUGCAAGUCUUAAUCAACGAUAUUCUACAGAGAAUAGAAUACAAAUACCUGCCUACGGUGUAUUUCUCCUGCGGUCUUUAUGGGUAUUCACAAGACAUAUGCCCAAAGUCAAUGAAUGAGCAACAAAGAACCAAAGAAAGCAUCGCUGAAACAUAAAUAAGACAGGAUAAUAAAACAGGGAAAAAUAAUCCCACAAACAGCUCCGACAUUUAUGGACUAUGGAUGCUUGUCGAAAAAUGAAUUUGCGAUGAUCAAAAGAAAGGCAAAGUAAUAACUGCGUAGCCAGAGAAAAGAAACAAGAAAACACUCGGUUUCAGCCAUUGGAAACCUUUAAUGAUGAGAUGGGCUUAUAUGUGAAUAGGCCCGCCAAUGAAACUAUCCUAGCCCAACAGGAGGUGGGCUCCGCAAUGCACCCAUUAGUUGAUAAACUAAGACCAAUAUCCACAGACUAGCAACAACAAAGGUCUGGUAAGGAGAGCACAGCAUAUUCAGGCCCAAACAAGCAGAAUCAAAUAAAAAAGAUAGGGCCCACCAUAUCCACCUCAGGGAGCCAAAAUAGAAUUAAUCUAGAGAAGCAAGGUUAUCCAGGCCAGACGCAAACUGAAUCAAAAUCAAGAAAGGGGAAAGAAAUAAAUAAAGAAUCACAAACAGUACACAUUUUGCAGUUACAACAUUUAGGGGGAAAUUCAGAGAUGGAGGUGACGAAGGUAAAAGAAAAUGACACAAUGACAGAGAAGCAGGCAAUGAGGGAAAUUAUUAACCAACAACCUUUAGAAAAUUCAGGGACUCAACUCAGCCUACAUUCCAAUGAUGAAAGACUAGUGGAGGUUGCUGUGACCCUUUCUGUCAAAAUUUUAGACACAGCCAAUCACUCAAUAGUGGUUUUUAAAGAGCUCGACAUCCUUGGGGAAAACAGGAAGAUCGGCUUACUCAUAAAAAUUCUAUGGGACGACGAAAUAGCUCUUCCACCGCCAGAACAAUUGAAGGAAAAUGAGUGCAAACCUGAAGGGCCAAAAGCUCAAGCGUAUCAUUCAGGAAAAAGGAAGUCCUUUCAAACCAUAUCCCCCAAAGUCCCAUUGAAAAAAUCAAUUAAUAAUAUGGUGGAUCUGUUACAAGAGCAAAUCAAGCAAGGACUUCUCAACAAGGUAAAUGAAGGAGGGGAGAGGUGAAAAGAAAGCAAGAAUAAGACAUAACAACAAUAUUAGACUGGGUACAAUCUUUCAAACCUUAUAUAAUGAAUUUUAAGUUCAAUUUAUCAAUUUUUGUUUGGCAUUGUUAAGGGUGCGCUAGUGCCAAAUUUCCUCACAUUUUUAGAGAGUAUAAUGUGGAAUUUAAACCAGAUAUAGUAGGCCUUCUUGAACUAAAUGUGAGUAGUAGUAAGGCGGAUGAAAUAAUUGCUAAAUUAGGCUUUCAUCAUUCACAUCGAAUCAAAGCAAAGGGUUUUUCAGGGGGAAUUUGGAUUGGUUGGAAAGACACAAUCCACCUGGAAAUAAUCCAAUAUCACCCUCAAUUUAUUCUGGUUAAAAUAUGUAAUGGAGACAAACACAACCUAUCUUCAUAAUGUUUGUUUACGGAAGUCCUAAUUCUACGAAGAGGAAGAGUUUAUGGGAAGCAUUAAAAACAAUUGUACCAUUUGAUCGAACUCUAUGGAUAGCAUUAGGAGAUUUUAAUGCAAUCCUUUCCGCCGAAGACAAAAAAAGUAGAAGCACCGUAGGGAAAAUAUGCCCAUUAUCCGGGGAGUUCAUUGAAUCCAAAAAUCUUCAAGACUUGGGAUUCCAAGGACCCUCUUUCACUUGGCAACGAAAAGGAGUCUUCGAAAGGCUAGAUCGCACAAUAGGAAAUGAAGCUUGGUGCCAAUCUUUUCCCCACUACGCAAUAACAUAUCUUAUAUGAAUUAGAUCUGAUCAUAGGCCUUUGUCAGUGAAUUUUAAUCUGAAUUUCAAACUCCUUAGAGGCUGACCCUUUAGAUUUCUCGCCGGAUGGGCACAACACCAAGAUUUUUCUAGCAUAGUUAAAAAUUCAUAAAAAUUUGAUGGAGACAUGUAUAGCUCAUUAAAUCAGCUUACUGCAAGUCUUAAAGGCUGUAACAAAAAAUUAUAUGGUCACAUUAGAUAUUGUAAGCAGAAAUUAGUAAAAUCUCUAGAUGUGAUACAAAUGAAACUGGAAAAAUCAUACUCAUAUUCACUGGCUCAAAAAUAAAUAGCAAUCAGAGAAGAGCUAGAAAAUGUACUUAGUCAUGAAAAACUAUUGUGGAAGCAAAAAUCCAGGUGCGACUGGCUUAAACUAAGGGAUAGAAACACGAAAUUCUUCCACAGUGGCACAUUACACAGAAGGAAGAUCAAUCGCAUUAUUACUCUUCGACACUCAAAUGAUGACUGGCUUUAUGAUCCAGAUGACAUAAAAGAGGAAGCAAUUAACUACUUUCAAAAAUUAUACGGUGAAAACCCUAAUAGAUUGAUGACAUUAUCCCCUAGUUGUUUCCCUCUGUUAGACACCAGGGACAUUGAUUUUCUUCAAAAAGAAGUCACGGAUGAAGAAAUUAAAACAACACUUUUAGACAUGGCCCCCUUAAAAGCACCAGAAAGUGAUGGAUACCAUGCUUUGUUCUUCCAAAACCAAUGGGAUAACAUAAGAGGAGCAGUUUGUUCUUGGGUUAAAGAUGUUUUUAAUGGACGACCCAUCGACCAAGAAUUAAAUAACACAUUAAUUGUCUUAUCCCGAAGGUUGCUCAACUAGAAGAAAUAUCUCAAUUUUGACCAAUAAGUCUUUGUAACAUUCUUUACAAAUUAGUCAUGAAAAUAAUAACCAAUAGGUUCAAAAAGGUUUUUCCUAAAAUCAUUUCUCAAGAACAAACUGGUUUCAUUGCUGGAAGAAACAUUAUUGAUAAUAUCAUCAUUGCUUAAGAAGUCAUUCAUUCAAUGUGAGGAAGAAAUAAGAAAUGGAUGACAAUCAAAAUUGACUUAGAAAAAGCUUAUGAUAGAGUCCGUUGGGACUACAUAGACAAAUCAAUCCAAGCAACUGGAAUACCAGAAUAUCUACAAAAAGUUAUCAUGUCAGGCAUCACAACGGCUAUUAUACAAGCCCUGUAGAAUGGGGUGCCCACUGAAAAAUUUAAACCUGCAAGAGGAGUAAGACAAGGAUGCCAUUAUCACUAUACUUAUUUGUCCUCUGCAUGGAAUGGCUAGGACAUUGUCUUAAUUCCUCCAUCUCCUCGAAAAAUUGGAUCCCUAUUAAAUUAUCUAGAACUGGACCUAACUUGUCACACCUAUUCUUCGCAGAUGACUUAGUGAUUUCCUCAAAACAUGGCAUGCUACUAAAGAAUAUUCUUGAACAGUUCUGCAGUUUUUCAAGACACUGUUUCAACUCAAGGAAAACCAAUGUCUUUUUCUCAAAAUGAGUAGUAGAAGACUUAAGUAAUAGGAUCAGUGGGAUUUUGGGGUACCAGAAAGUACAAGAACUGGGAAAAUACUUAGGCAUCCCCUUAUUCCACAAAAGAAUCACUAAAUCCACAGUACAAUUUGUAAUUGAAAAGGUCUAGUCAAAAUUAUGCAAUUGGGAUGCAAAGCAACUUUCCAUGGUAGGACGUUUUACCCUAGUUUAGUCAGUACUCUUAACCAUCCCUAAUUACUUCAUGCAAUCCAUGGAAAUCCCAAAAGGGGUGUGUGAUAAAACUGAAUGUAUAGCAAGACAAUUCAUCUGUGGCUCAAACACGAGAGGAAGGAAGCUAGCACUUGUGGAUUGGGGAACAGUAUGCCAGCCUCGAGUAAAUGGUGGUCUUAGUCUAAGGCGAUUGCAGGAGCAAAACAAAUCCUUUUUGUUAAAAUUAGAAAUGAACCUCAUCUCCAGACGGAAUGCAUUAUGGACGCAAGUACUACGCUCAAAAUAUGGAAUGAAAGAAGUUAUCCCAGAGUGUAUAGAAAGAAGAAAUAGUUCUGCACUAUGGAAAGAAAUUGAGAAGAUCUGGCCAAUAUUGAAAGAUAAUUUAUGCUGGUCAGUUAGAAAUGAAGCGGAAAUAUACUGCUGGAAUGAUAAUUGGGUUCCUAAUAUAGGACCACUGAGGAAACAAACUCAAAAUCCGAAUAGACCAAUCAACGAUUGCUUGCUUAAAGACAUGAUAACAACAGAGGGGGCAUGGAACUUAGAAGCAUUCAGAGAAAAUUUAACAGAGGGAAUCGUACAAAGGAUAAUUGGUGUACCUCCUCUGCACCAUUCAGUAGGACCAGAUAACAUCAGAUGGACGCCUGCCUCUACUGGAAAAUUCUCGAUCAAAAAUGCAUACCAACUAAUAACGGAGAAUUCAUGGAAUAAUCGAGAUACCAGGUGGAAGGAUAUUUGAAAGUAUCCAGGCCCUCAACGCAUCCGUUUCUUCCUAUGGUUAGCUUGUAAACAACGACUACUCACCAAUCUAGAGCAAGCAUGAAGAGGACUUGACUACAAUACCUCUUGUCCAGUGUGUUAGCACAACACAUAAGACGUUCUUUGUGCUCUCAAAGAUUGCCCGUCAACUAAAGAAAUUUGGCUAAACAUUAUCCCCCAAAACUGGCAAACUCAAUUCUUCUUUGGCAAUAUUUUUGACUGGGUAAAGGAAAAUUUAAGACACAAUGAAUGGAUGUUAUGGGCUCAAACCUUCUGGCCAACCCUUUUUGGUCUAGUUGCAUGGCGUAUAUGGAAAAAUAAGAAUCUAUUUGUCUUUCAAGACGUAACAUGGAGUUUAGCUGAAACCAUCAAGAUCUCUAUGUGCUGGGCAAGACAACAUACCAACUCACAUGCGAGGGAUCCAACUAAAGAUAUAAAUGAAGAAACUGAACAGGAAACAAGUCUAGCCGUUGAGUAAUAGUUUUCGAUUUAGGUUUUAUUUUCUUUUAAUUUAGUUUUUUUCCAAAAAAAUCUUCUAUUCAUGUAUAAUUAAAAAAAACAAUUCAAAUAUUUUAAUAAAAAAACAUUUUUAUUUUUAUUUUUAAAUACAAAUAAUUUAAAUAUUUUUUUAUUAAUCAUAUCAUAUGUCAUAUAUAUAUAUAAUAAUUUAAUACAAUUAAUACGUAAUUUAUUGUACUUUGUAUAUAUAAUAAUGUUGAUUGGGACAAUAAUCUUACACUGUAAUUUGUCUUGGGUUAAAUAAAAUAUUUAAAACUAUUAAGAUAUUGGCUAUUGAUAAAAUUAAAUAGUUUAAAUUACAAUUAAUAUGUAAUAUUUUUUUGGAUUUUAUCAUUAUUUUUAGAUAAUUUUUUUAAAAAUAUAUUAAAUAUUUAUAUUAUCUUAAAUAUUUAAUUAAAAAUUAAAAAAUUUAAAAUUUAGAUAAAUAUAUAAAUAAAUAUUAAUUAGAUAAUUUAUACAUUUGAUUUAACUUAAAUAUUUAUUUAUAUAUUAUUUAUACUAUUAUCUAUUAUCUAUUUAUAAUUUUGAUUUUAACAUAAAAAUAAUUAUUUUUAGAAGUAUAUUUUAAAUUACGUAAUUUAUCUAUUCAAAAAUUUCAAACUAUCUAAUUUAAUUAGAUUAUAUUAAAAUUUUAAAUGAAAAUAAAUAUUUUUAAAAAAAGAAUAGCAAUUCAAUUAGAUUAGAUAAUCAUCACAUUAUAAAUUGCAGCAAUGUACAUAUUUAGAACACAAAACAAUAUAAGGUUCGUGAAGGUAAGUUCUAAUUUUUUCACAAUUUUUUAUUGUUUAUUAAUAUGAUUUUUAUCUAAAUUGUUAUGUUUAUUAAGCUUCACAAUGGUUUUGAAUAAUGAUAAUUUUAUUGUUGAGACUAUAGAGUAGUGUAUUAGAAACAAUUACUCGAUUUUCCAUUGAUUAUAUAUAUAAAUUGGACAACAUAAAUAGGAACUAUUCUAGAAUUAGGGGAUUAAAAGUAAUUGAUUACAACUAAUUAUAAUAUAGAGAAAAUCUCUCAGAAUUAAUUCUUUAAUAAGUUCACUUAAGAUGGAGCUCCAAAGGAGACAUCAAUCUUGACCUUUAAUUCUUGGAAGUGUUUUCAUGGAAGCGGUUUGGUAAGACAUUGGAAAGUUGAUCUACUAAGGAAACAUGAGUAACACGAAGAGCGCCUAAUUGAACUUGAUCCCAAAUAAAGUAAUAGAAAAUUGCCACAUGUUCAUGUGUGAAUAAAAGACUGGAUUAGAGAAGAGGUAGGUGGCACCAACAUUGUCACUAUAAAUAACAGGUUGUGUAGGAAGAGUGACUCCAAGCUAUGUGAGAAGAGAACAAAUCUAAUUGAUUUCUAAAGUAGUAGUGGUAACUGACCGAUACUCAGCUUCUAUGGAUGGCCGAGCAAUUAUGUGUUGUUUUGUGGAUGACAACCAAGAUAGAUAAUUUAGACACUCGUAGAGGUAUAGCUGUCUUUGUUGCCAGCCCAAUCUGCAUCUAGGAAGGCAUGAAAAGAGAGUGGAUUUUUUUAUGAAGAAAUAAUCCACGAGUCAAUGUGCCACACAGAUACCGAAGUAGCCAUUUUGCAACAUUCCAAUGUUCAGAUGUCAGGUGAUGCAUGAAUUGGGACAUCUUGUUAACAACAUACGUUAUGUCUGGCUGAAUGAGGCAAAUAUAUUGUAGACUACCAACAAUGGUUCUAUAUUCUUUGUAGUCAGUCAGUGUUGUACCUGAAUGAAGUAUGAAAUUUCCAUUGGUAGCAAGUGGUGUAGCAAUAGGGUGUACACUAAAAAUUUUUGUUUGGGCAAGAAGAUUAGUGAUGUAGUGCUUUUAAGUAAGCAAUAGACUAGACAAAGUGGUAAGAACUUUAAUACCGAGAAAAUAAAACAAGGAACCAAGAUCCUUGAUUGAAAAACGUUGUGCUAAGAGAUCAAUGUAGCAUUGAACAACAUUAGUGUUGGCACUUGUGAUAAUAAUAUUAUCUACACAAACAAGUAGUUAUAUUGUAGUGUUUAUAUAAAAAAAGGUAUAUUGUAGUGACACCUGAGUGGAGUAUGAAUAAAGAAGUGUCUGCAUGAGAGCUUGGGAACCCAAACGCAAUGAGGAAUUGGCGAAGUUCAAGGUACCAAGCCUGUGAGUCCUGCUUGAGUCCAUAUAACUUUUUUUAGUCUGCAUACAUGUGUUGGGUUGUCUCGACCAACAAACCCCAGAGGCUGGGCGAUGUAGACAUCUUCGAAAAGAUGACAUUAAAAAAGGAAUUAUUAACAUCCAACUGUUGCAAUUGCCAACCUUUAUUGACUAUCAGGCUUAGAACAAUGUGUGUUUGUGUUAGCUUGACAACUAGACUAAAGAUGUCAUGAUAAUCCACACCAGGUCGUUGAUGAAAACCUUUGGCAAUUAGUAUAGUUUUAUACAUGUCAACAGAAUAGUAUAGUUUUAUACAUGUCAACAGAACCAUCAGAUAGUUGUUUAAUAUGAAAGAUCCACUUACAGCUAACAAGAUUAUGUAGAAAAGAGGAUGGAACAAGGUCCCAGGUUCCAUUCCGAACAAGGGCAUCAAACUCAUCUUUCAUAGUUUGUCUCCAUUUGGGAUCUUUUAGGGCUUGGUUAACUGUAUGAGGCUCAACGUCAGAUGAUUGAGGAAGGAUAACAGUGAGAGUCAUCUUGGUUAGGGGUUUAUGGAUGUUUUUUUUCACUCUAAUAGUCUUGGGAUGAGUAUUUUGAUGGGUGGGUUGAGUUUUGUUUGAAGUAGAGGAAGUUUUAGAAUUGUGUGGUUAAAGUGGUAAAUUGUUAAUCGAACUGUCUCUAGGUAAAUGGAGAUUUGAGGACUGGGGUAAGCAAUCGACCAAUGAGGGGGUUGGUCAACAGUUUGGGCAUGUGGUGAUGGAUGUUGACAUGAGAAAUCCCUUUAUAGAGACAUAUUGAGUGAGUAACAUGAAAUGGGGAGAAUUUGGAUUGGGGGAAGCCAUUUUGAAGAUGAUCUCUGAAGUGGUAUGAGAUAGAUAAGACCGGUGAGUAGUAAAGGGAAUGAGUUUUUUAAAAAAAUUACAUGAUGAGAAAUAUAUAUUUUAGAAGUAGAUAGAUCAAGACAGAUAUAGGCAUUUUGUAUGGAAGAGUAACCAAGAAAAACACAAGUGUGGAACAACUAUCAAGUUUAUGUUAAGAAAAACGAUGAAACCACAGAUAACAUAAGCAACCGAACACCCGAAGUUUAGUGUAGUUGGGUAGAGACCCAAAGAGUUUUUCAAAAGGAGGUAAAAUAUGUAAUUUGGGUGUGGGCAUACGAUUGAUGAGAGAUACAUUAGUUGCAAAGACAUAAGUCUAAUAAGUUAGAGGCAUGGAUGCAUGAGUGAGAAGAGAUAAGAUGAUUUCAACAAUAUGAUGAUGUCGUCAUUCGGAAAGACCAUUUUUUUCUGGUGUUUGGUUUGGUGUAGUAUGAUGGGAUAUACCAUUGGUAGAGAGAAAAAUUUUAAAAGCUUGAUAUUCGCCACCAUUAUCUAUAUAGAGAGUAAUAAUUUGAUUUUUAAAUUGGUUUUCAACUAAUACCUUGAAGAACACGAAGACAUCAUAAACAUGGGAUUUACACUUAAGUGUAUAAUAUCAUAUGUAUUGGGUAUAAUGAUAAAAAAAAUAACAUAGUACUAAAAACCAUCAAUAGAAUAGACAUGAGAGGUCCAAAAAUUAAAAAAGAGAAGUUUAAGCGAAGGGAUGAGAUUAAGGUAGAAGAAGAAAAUGGAAUUUUAUGACUUUUAUUACAUGACAAUGCAUUGCAAAGUGUGAAUGAAGACAAGGGGCUAGAUAAUGGUAAAGAAAACUUGGAAACAAUAUUUUUCAUAAUUGGGAAUGAUGGAUUACCUAGUCUAGAGUGCCACUCGGACGAAGUGGUCUUAACACUAGAAAAGGCAAGUACUGGUGAAAGGGGGACUAAAAGAGAUGUGGUUGGCCACUUAUAUACGCCAUCCUUAGGUUCACCCAUCAAAAGGAUUGCCCCCGUGUUUAGAUCCUUCACCUGAAAAGUAGAAGGUGAGAAAUCAACAGAAACAUGAUUAUUGGUGCAAAAUUGAUAAAUCAAAAUUAUGUUCUUUUUCAUAGAAGGGACACAAAGGACAUUUUGUAAAGCAAGGUGUGAGAGGAAGUAGGUAUGGUGGUAGAACCAGUGUGGGUGAUGUAAAGGGUCGAUCCAUCGCCAAUCAUGACAUCUUCAGAUCCUUGAUACGAUUUGUAAAGAGAAAUAUUUCUCAAGUCAGACGUGACGUGGUAGGAUGCGCCGCUAUCCAGUAACCACGUAGAAGUAGUGGUGUUGUCGACGACAGCAUGAUUGGCUUGUGAUUUUCAGGUUGUGAAGGGGCGAUAUCCCUAAGAGCCUUGAGGAUAAGGUGUCGGGGAUUGCUGAUAAGUGAUUAGAUGAAACAUUAGGCAUUUUUUGGUAGUGUGUCCAUGAAUGCUGCCAGCUUGACAGCAACCCAAAUAAAGUUUGGUGGAGCGUGGUUGUUGAGGUCAUUUUGUAGCCAUUGAAGAAUGGUAUAUGUAUAUUUUUUUUAAGGAUAUUGAUUGUGGGUUUUCUAAAAAAAAAUGUCCAAGAAGGUUAGACUCUUGAUACCAUGUUAAGACUAUAAUGUUGAAUGCUGGCUAGUAUUGCAGCAACAAGGAUUUUUGGUGCACAAUCAUGCAACUAAUUUUUUUAUUAUAUGCAAACUAGUCUAGUUUAUUUGUGACUUAGUUUGAUCAUGUACAAUAUUAGUUGGCUGUUAUUUUUCUUAUUCAGGUAUUGAUUUAGCUGAUAAGUUAGCUUAUGAAAGUGUACAAGCAAUGUUAUGCAAUUUCCAAUGUUGUUAGUAGGAGUUGUUAAGUAUUUGGUAUUUUGUUUGUAACUUAAGAUAACAAUCUAAAAAUGAAAUGAGUGUGUUGAAAUCAUCUCUUUUUUUUUUUAGUUUCUUAUUUUUUUUCUUUCAUGUUUUCUGUCUAUUGUUGUUAAUAACCUCAACAAAUGGUAUUGGGAUCCUGUUAUCUUUGAGGGCCUUUUUUUGUUCUUUGGUGUUUUCUGAGAAAGAAAAAACUAAAGUAUCUUUAUUGUUGCUGUAAAACAUGAGUUUUUCACCACCACCACCACCACUCUUUUUUUUUUGGUGAAAACUACCACAUAUGGGUAGCGAAAAUGAAGACAUAUUUGUAGGCUCAUGAUUUGUGAAAUGUGGUUGAGAAUGAUAGAGAACCACCUCUAUUGAGAGCUAAUCCUACCAUAGCUAAAAUUAGAAAACACAAUGAUGACUGUGCUAAAAAUAUAAUGAAAUUUCUUGCCUGCAAAAUAAAGUCUCAGAUGUGAUCUUCACCAAAAUUAUGGCUUGUAACUCCCCAAAACAGGCCUAAGAGAAGCUAAAUGAGGAGUUUCAGAGAUUUGAUAAAACAAAACAACAAUAGUUGAUCAAUUUGAGGAGAGACUUUGAAAUUUUGAAAAUGAAAAAGUCUGAAUCAAUCAAGCAAUACUCUGAUAGGAUAAUGGUUACAAUCAACAAUAUCAGAUUGCUUGGAGAAGAUUUCAAUGACGGAAGGAUUGUUGAGAAAGUUAUCACAACCCUUCUAGUGAAGUAUGUGUCAAAGAUCGCUUCAUUGGAGGACUCGAGGGAUUUAUCAACUAUUUUUUUGCCAGAGUUGAUAAAUGCUCUUUAUACACAAGAGCAAAUAAAGGCUAAGAGAUUAGAGGAGCAGGUUGAAGUAGCUUUUUAGGCCCAAAGCAAGGAAGGCUCAAGCUCAAGCUAUAAGGGAAAUAAACCGUGGAAAGAAAAGAAGGGGAGGCCCAAAAAUAUUGGAAAAAAAGUUCUUACCAUGCACUCAUUGCAAGAAGUCCUCACAUUUAUAAUGAUAUUGUUGGUAUAGGUCUGACAUUAAGUGUAGAAGUCGUAAGUGAUUAAGUCAUGUGGAGAAUAUUUGUAAAAAAAAAGGAAAGCCACAACAGUAGCAACAGCAGAAAUGAGUUCAAGCUUAAGCUAAUGAUGACAAUCAAGCUCGAGAGAAGCAUGUUUUAACUAUAUCCUGUUUUACAACCUCUAGUAGGGUAAAAAAGGAUUGGUUAAUUAAUAGUGGCUGCACACAUCAUAUUGCAUCAGAUGAAAGAAUGUUCAGGGAGAUAGACACCAGCUUUGUUUCAAAAGUCAGAAUUGAGAAUGUAAAUUUCAUUGAAGCCAGAUGAAGAGGAGAGGUUGUGAUUGAGACUCAUUCAGGUAUCAAAAUAAUCCCAUAUGUCCUUUUUGCACCUGAAAUUUACCAAAAUUUUCUUAGUAGUUGUCAGCUGAUAGAGAAAGGUUAUUCUCUUAUUUUCAAAAAUAAAGCUUGUAUGAUUGUAAACUCAUGUGAUCAAGAAUUAGUAACAGUCGCCAUGGCUGAUAGAUGUUUUAUUCUAGAUAUAAAUUAGCCAAAUUUAAAGGCUUGUGCUAGCUUAGUUGAUGAAUCACGUUUACAGAAAAAAAAAUGCCAGGGCAUGUUAAAUAAAAAUCUCUCAAUUUGCUGCACAAGUUUGAUCUGGUUGAAGACAUGUCUAGGGUUGAUGUUAAAGGUGAAGUUUGUGAGGUCUGUCAGCUUGGGAAGCAGGUUAGAUUGCCAUUUCUAGUCAAUAAAGAAUAGAGAGCUCAUGAUAAGCUUCAAUUGGUCUUUACUGAUGUUUUUGGACCUAUGAAGACUUCCUUUCUAAGUGAUAAUAGGUAUUUUGUUUUAUUUAUUGAUGACUGCACAAGGUUUUGUUGGGUGCAUUUUUUGAAGCAAAAGUCAAAAGUAGCUUAUUUAUUUCGGAAGUUUAAAUUUAUGGUUGAAAAUCAAGCCAACUGUAAACUCAAGACAUUAAGGUCAAACAAUGGCACUGAAUACACAUCAGAAAAGUUUCAGAGACUAUGUGAAGAAGUAGGAAUUUUGCAUCAACUGACCAACAUUUAUACACCUCAUUAAAAUAUUGUUUGUGAAAGGAAGAAUCGAAAAAUUUUGGAUAUGGCUAGAUGUUUGCUAUUUGAAAGAAAAUUGCCAAACAAUUUUUGGGUUGAAGUAGAAAAUACUUCAAUGUAUCUACUCAACAGAUUGCCAACUAAUGCUGUAACACUCCUCACCCGUAUCCAACACCGGGACAGGGCUCGAGGCAUUACCGAAACAUUAUCAUUCAUAAACAUGCAAAAUCGGGUCACCAAAUUUUGUCCAAAAUUUAAAACUUCUAGAACAUAAGCAUAUCGUUCCUUAUAUAGGCCAUCGAGGCCUAUAACCUACAUUAAGGCGGUUUGGUAUCAUUCGGUAAACUUUGGGUGACUUAAUAAAUUUCUAGCUUUGGUGUGUCACACGCCCGUGUAAGUGGGCCGUGUGUGAUUGGGCACGUCCAUGCCUUUAACCCGUGGGCAACACUGAAUUUUGGGCACGACCAAGACACACGCCCGUGGGCUCACCCCGUGUCCAAAACUUGAGCAUUCUGUUAAAAUAACACGGCCCAGACACACACUCGUGUGUCCUACCCGUGUGCUAAUUUCACUUAAAGUUUUAGGUGUAGGGGACACACGGCCAUACCACACGCCUAUGCGGAUGGGCCGUGUGUCACACACGGCCUAGACACAGGCCCGUGUGUCUAACCAUGUGGACCUUAAUAAGCUAUUUUCCAAGCCUUUAGUCACCCCUUUCAACUACUUGUGCCUAAUGGUUACCAAGUUUGAGAGAAAGCAUGAUUAUACACUUGUAAAUAAUCUUAAUGAAAAUAGUUGUAUGGAAACCUCAUGUCAUUGGUUUCAUACAUAAGUGGUUAUUUCCUAUUUAGUGUCAUGGGUUCCAAUAUUACAUUAAUCCAUCUGAAAUUGGCUCAUUCAUGUGAUUCAUUGCCAAUUGAUAGCAACUCAUCAUUUGUAAUUAAAAGCAUACAUAAAAUCGUAGGUCAUGGCCUACUUAAAUUAAGCCAAUUUUCAUGGCCAUAUAUAAAGAGAUAAACAUAUUUUUUUUACAUGCCUUUGCUGGGCAAAUCAAAUGACACAUAUAACAAAAUACUCAAAAAUACUAUACUGCCAUUGAACAAAAUAAACAGAGUCUUUAUACCAAAGCUUGUUUAGUUAAUAGUGUGUUGUUUCUCCAACCGUCUUCCAAUCCUUAUGAGUCCUCAAGCUCUGUAAAAUAGGGAAAAGAGAGGGGUAAGCAUUUUCAUGCUUAGUAAGCUCGAAUAACCGAAGAGUAAACUUACCGAAUAAUUAGCAUACAUGCAUACUUAAAUCAUAAAAUCAUCCAAUAUGAAAUGAUUUCCUAUCACAUGCACUCAAUCAAUGAGUUAGUCACAUAAUCAUGUAUCAUGUAAUUUAACUAGAUGAGCUCAUCAUUCAACAUUUCAUUCAUACAUGUAUCUUACGUUAAUCUCAUUGAGUUUCUAGGAAACCUCGAUGGAAUACCCAUUGUCCGUCAAUUCAUUCAAAUGAUCUUUCCAUAUAUGCACUCCUGCGAAACUCACAUCAUAUGGCGGGAUUACCAGUCCAGGCUAAAUCCCCCAUAUUAUAUGAACUCAUAAGGUGAUGUCGGGAUUGCCAGUCCAAGCUAAAUCCCAUAUAACGACAAACACUCUUAAUGAGCUUGGAUCUGAGUUACCAGUCCAGGCUAAAUUCAGAUCCUAAUCGGAUUACCCGUCCGGGCUACAUCCAUAAUGCACUCAUAUUCUUCGGGAGGCUUGAUCAUUCAAGGAACACCCAUCCAGGUUAGAUUCCUUUCCAUACUUGAGAUCACGGAUUACCCGUCCGGGCUAAAUCCUUACUGCAACACUUAUAGGAUCUCCUUUCACAUGUAAAACAUGGUUAAUCCAUCGAAUUCCCUUUUAAUCUCAACCGAGACGGUUAUCAACAAGUCAUUAUCAAAGAUGCAUUUCAUGCAUUUUCAUGCCAUUAAUAAUGCAAUUAUCAUGCAUUCAUAAAUUAUACAAUCAUGCAUAUUUGGGGUUUACUUUAAGUUAUCCGAACUUACUUGGUAACAGUUUCAGAGUUAUGUUUCGGUUAUUCCUAAACCUUGCGUUUACCUCGAUCGGCCUCCGAAAUUUGUUCCUCGAGGUCUAUAACAACAAAUUUAGCUCAUUAAUACCCCACAUUAUAGAUUUCAAGUUUAAAAUCUACCCCCGAUCCAAAUGACCGUUUUGCCCCUAACCUUUGACAAUUUUACGAUUUAGUCCCUAGGCUCGUAUAAUGAAACACAUACAAUUUCUAUCUUACCCAAGCUUAACCGAACAUUUUUCUCUCUUAUGACAACCCACAUUUUUCAUUAUUUUUCUCAUUUCUACCACACAUUUACAUCUUUUGCAAAAUAGUCCCUAUAAGGGUUUCUCAUGAAAACCAACUUGGAAAAGAUGUUUAACACACAUUUAUCUUUCAUAUUCCUCCAUAAUCCAUCAAAAUACCAAUAACUCAUGCAUUGAACGUGAACCCUAGCAUGAAAUAUGGCUAGAAAUGGAGAGACCAAGCUACCGGGAUUUCAAAAAUACAAAGAACAUGAAAAACGAGGCUUGGAAGCACUUACUAUUGAGUUUGAAAAUAGAAGAAACCCUAGCUAUGGUGUCCUCCAAAUUUCAGCAGCUAUGGGAAGAAGAUGAGCAUAUUUUUGCUCCAUUUUUCCCUUUUUAUAUCUUUAAAAUGACAAAUGACCAAAAUCCCCUUAUGCCCUUUCUUUAAAAUUUCAUCCAUGCAAACCCAUUUUUGUCCAAAAAUUUAGAAUUUGGGCAAAUUGAUCUCUAAGGCCUUCUAAUUCAUAAUAUAUAGCAAUUUCAUACAAAUUGCUUCUAGAAUCCAAGUUUUGCAAUUUAUUCAAUUUAGUCCCUAAUUUCCAAUUGGACACCUUAUACUUAGAAUUUCUUCAUAAAACUUUAACAUAUGCAUAUACUCAUAUUCUAGGCCUCAUCAUAAUCAUAAAAUAAAUAUUUUGAUGUCGAAUUUGUGGUCCCGAAACCACUAUUCUGACUAAGCCCUAUUUCAGGAUGUUACAUUUCUCCCCUCUUAGGGUCUUUCGUCCUCGAAAGUCUUACCAAAAAACAGAUUUUAAUAUUGGCUUCUUAUGGUUUCUUCUGGCUCCCAUGUGGCUUCUUCUACACCAUGUCAAUGCCAUAAAACUUUUACAAGAGCCACAUCUUUAUUUCUCAACUGUUUAACUUCACGAGCCAAUAUCUUAACCGGUUUUUCUCCAUAGGUCAUGUCCGGUCAAAUUUCGAUCUCAAUCGGUGAAAUUACAUGAUAGGGGUCUGAUCGGUAUCUCCUUAACAUGGAUACAUAGAACACAUCAUGAAUCUUUUCCAGUUCGGGUGGCAACGGCAAACGAUAGGCUAAUAGUCCAACUCUUUCGGUGAUCUCGUACGGUCCGAUAAAUUGUGGACUCAAUUUACCUUUCCGACCAAAUCUCAAUACCUUUUUCCAUGGAGAUACUUUCAAGAAUACUCUUUCUCCAACUUGAAACUCAAUUUCUUUUCUUUUCAGAUCAGCAUAAGACUUUUGUCUAUCUGAUGCUGCUUUUAAAUAAUCCCAUAUCACUUUAACUUUUUCUUCAGUUUCUUUAAUCAGAUCAACUCCAUGAAUUUGAUUUUCCUUGAGUUUUGUCCAGUACAAUAGAGUUCGACAUUUCCUACCAUACAAGGCCUCACAAGGUGCCAUCUUCAAACUUGUUUGGUAACUAUUGUUGUAGGCAAAUUCUACCAAUGGCAGAUAUUUUCCCCAACUACCCUGAAAUUCAAGGAUGCAACAACGCAACAUGUCCUCGAGAAUCUGAAUCAUCUGCUCAGACUGACCAUCGAUCUUAGGGUGAAAAGUUAUGCUAAAGCUCAACUUUGAACCCAAGUCUUCUUGUAACCUCUUCCAGAAUUUCGAAGUGAACCUCGAGUCUCUAUUCGAAAUAAUCGACAGUGGUACUCCGUGCAAUUUUACUAUCUUAGAAAUGUACAAAUCAGCCAAUGGCAUCUUUCUUUGUGGGAUAAAAUGAGCUGACUUUGUCAGUUUGUCCACUAUAACUCAUAUGGCAUCUUUCUUUUUCGGAGUCAAAGGUAAUCCUGUCACGAAAUCCAUGGUAACUUUGUCUCACUUCCAUUUAGGGACCAUUACAGGCUUAACAGACCUGAAGGCACUUGAUGUUCAGCUUUAACUUGCUGACAUACCAUGCAUUUCGAUACAAAUUUAGAAACGUCUCUUUUCAUGCCGUUCCACCAAUACAUUUUCUUUAAAUUGUCGUACAUCUUGGUACUUCCCGGGUGAACUGACAAAUGAUUGUUAUGUGCUUCUUGCAAAAUCUUCCGAAUAAGUUUAUUAUCUUUGGGUACACAAACCCUAUCUUUGAACAUCAAACAUCCAUCAGGACUAAUUCGGAAAUCAGUCUCAAUACCAGACUCACAUUGAGCCCUUUUUGCUUGCAAGUCAUCAUCAUUAAACUGAGAAUCAUAAAUUUCCUGCAGAAAUGUUGGCCUAGCCUCCAGCUCAGCCAGAACUGAACUAUCAUCAAGCAAUGUCAAACGAGUAUCCAUGGCUCUCAAGGCAUACUUGGAUUUUCUACUCAAUGCAUCGACGACCACAUUCGCCUUUCCCGGGUGAUAGUCAAUAAUCAAAUCAUAAUCUUUAAUUAAUUCUAAUCAUCUCUGGUGUCUCAAAUUUAAUUCUUUUUGAGUCAUCAAGUAUUUCAAACUCUUGUGGUCCGUGAAUAUACGGCAAGUCUCACCACACAAAUAAUGUCUCCAAAUUUUUAAGGCAAAAACAAUGGCAGCAAGCUCUAGGUCGUGGGUUGGAUAAUUCUUCUCAUGAGGCUUCAAUUGCCAUGAAGCAUAGGCUAUCACCUUGCCAUCUUGCAUAAGCAUACAACCCAAUCCAUUUAAGGAUGCAUCACUGUAGACCACAAAUUCUUUUCCCGAUUCAGGUAGCACUAAAACAGUAGCUUCGGUCAACAAUGUCUUUAACUUUUCAAAACUUUACUGACACUUCUCCGUCCAUUCAAACUUAACGUCUUUCUGUAGCAGCUUCAUCAUCGGAGUCGCUAUCAUGGAAAAUCCUUUUACAAACCUUCGAUAAUAACUGGCUAAGCCCAAAAAGCUUCUAACCUCAGUUACAUUCUUAGGCGAUUUCCAUUCAACAAUUGCAAAAAUUUUACUUGGAUCAAUUCGGAUGCCUUCACCCGAAACUAUAUGACCCAAAAAUCCAACUUCUUGGAGCCAAAAUUAACUCUUGCUAAACUUAGUAUACAGUUACUUUUCCCGCAAGGUGUGCAACACAGUUUUCAGAUGCUUCGCAUGCUCUAUCUCAUCUCUAGAGUAGAUCAAAAUGUCGUCAAUAAACACAACGAUAAAAUUAUCCAAAUAUGGCUGAAAGAUCCUAUUCAUUAGAUCCAUAAACACGGCCGGUGCAUUCGUCAGCCCAAACAGCAUGACAAGAAAUUCAUAAUGGCCAUACCUCGUUCUGAAAGUUGUCUUGGGUACAUCCGAGUCUUUAACUCGCAACUAAUAAUAGCCAGACCUCAAGUCUAUCUUGGAGAAUACGGUGGCUUCUCUCAAUUGGUCAAACAAAUCAUCAAUCCUUGGAAAAGGAUACUUUUUUAUUAAUAGUCACCUUAUUCAAUUGCAGAUAAUCAAUACAUAACCUCAUCGACCCAUCUUUCUUCUUCACGAACAACACAGGAGCACCCCAAGGUGAAAAACUUGGCCUUGCGAAUCAUUUAUCCAUCAGCUCUUGCAACUGUGCCUUCAACUCUUUCAACUCAGUUGGUGCCAUUCUGUACAGAGCAAUAGAAAUGGGAGUCGUCCCUGGCAUCAAUUCAAUACCAAACUCUAUCUCCCUUUUAGGAGGUAGUUUGGGUAAUUCUUUCGGAAACACAUUUAGAUACUCACAUACUAUCAACACAAACUCAAUUUUUAAUGCAAUUUCCUUAGUGUUCAUUACAAACGCAAGGUAGGCUUCGUAUCUUUUCCUCAUAUAUCUCUGGGCAACCAUUGUCGUGAUUACAACCGGCGACGAACCCAAUUCUCUUGAUUCGACCCGUAGAACCUUACCAUCCGGGCAUCUUAACUUAAUAUACUUACUACCACAAUUCACAGUUACACCAUGAAGGGCUAACCAAUCCAUACCAAGUAUUACAUCAAAUUAAUCAAAUGGCAACAACAUAAGGUUAGUCGGGAAACAAUAACCUUGAAUCGUCAAAGGAAAAUCUUACAGACUUUAUCAACUAGGGCUGAUCUGCCUAGUGGAUUCGACACUCUAAUAAUAUCUUCCGUAUGUUCAACAAGUAUGUUCAUACUAGACACCAAUCUCAUGCAGAUAUAUGAAUACAUCGAUCCCGGGUCAGUUAAAGCAACAACACUUAUAUUAAAAAAAAGAAGGUACCCGUAAUAACAUCAGGAGCAGCUGUUUCCUCUCGGGCACGUAUCACAUACGUUCUUGCCGGGGCUCGAACCUCUGGUUUUGCAGCAUCUUUAGUUAUGACUCGACUGCCACUAGCACUUCCAGGGUAUCUCGGAGGUCUGCCUCGAAGAAUAGGAGCCCUCGAUUUUAGGGUUACAUCCACUCCUUUUUCAGCUCGUUCUGGGCAGUCUCUAAAGAAGUGAUCAAGAGAACCACAUCUGAAACACGCACUGCUCUUCAUUCGACACUCACCGAAGUGAAAUUUGUUGUAGCUCUUACACUUCGAUUUUUGAUCAUCUACACUCCCCACACUAGUCUCCAUCGGGGAGGAAGACUUUUGACCUUGUCAUUUAGAGCUUCUCGAUCUACCCAAAUAUCCCACUGACGAAGUGGAGCGUUCAUGCAGGCUCUUGGCUUUCUUCAUGGAGAACAAGAGUGUUUUACCGCUAGACCUCUUGCUCACAACUCGAGCCUCUCUCUUAGCUUGUUUUCUUUCAUUAUUAAGUUCCUCGGCCUUCUUGGCUCGAUCGACCAAUGUGGCGAACUCCCGUAUUUCCAAGAUCCCAAUCAACAACUUGAUACCCUCAUUCAGACCUUCCUCGAAGCGUUUACACAUUUCUGAUUCUGUUUGGACCCAUUCGGUUGCAUAUAGACUUAGUCGUAUGAAUUCUUUCUCGUAUUCCGCUAUAAUCUUGUUACCUUGUUUGAGUUCCAGGAACUCCUUUUGCUUCAAGUCCAAAAACUGUUGGUUAAUAUAUUCCUUCCUAAACUCUGCUUGGAAGAAAUCCCAAGUAAUAUUUUCCUCUGGCACUACCGAGGAUACGGUUUUCCACCAAUUGUAUGGAGUGUCCUUCAAAAGGGACACAACACACUUUAAACAUUCCUCGGGUGUGCAUGACAAAUCAUCUAACACCCGUGUAGUAUUUUUGAGCCAGAACUCGGCUCUUUCAGCAUCAUCAUCAACUUUAGCUCUAAAUUCUUCAGCCCCAUACUUUCUAAGCUUAUCUACAGGGGUUUUACCGAUUCUCACCGGUGCAAUACCUCGUGGCACAUCCUCAUUAGGUUGGUUAGGGAUCGGGGGUGGUCUUGGUAUAUUGGGGAAAUUACUUAGAUAAUCCCCAAACCAUUCAUCCAUCAUAUCAAAGAAGACAGCUCAGGCCUCUUCUCGGCCUUCUGACAUCAGCCUUUUACUACUACUAGAUACAGCUCGUUGUACGGAAGCUGGAGCAUGGCUCUUGGCUCCCUCGAACUCAUCUUGUGCUUGAUUGGAAGACAUUUACUAUAUUCAAAACAAUUUAAACAAUUAGGAGACGUCACACUAUCAACAUUCGAGUAAUGGAAUGUAUAGCGAACCUUUAACGUCCUCUAUAGUAGUCUUAGAACCGACUAAACCAUAACUCUGAUACCAAUAAAUGUAACACCCCUCACCCGUAUCCAAAACCGGGACAGGGCUCGAGGCAUUACUGAAACUUUAUCAUUCAUAAGCAUACAAAACUGGGUCACCAAAUUUCAUCCAAAAUUUAAAACUUCUAGAACAUAAGCAUAUCGUUCCUUAUACAGGCCAUCGAGGCCUAUAACCUAUAUUAAGGCGAUUCGGUACAAAACCAAAAUCAUUCGGUAAACUUUGGGUGACUUAAUAAAUUUUUAGCUUUAGAGUGUCACACGUCCAUGCCUUUAACCCGUGGGAAACACUGACUUUUGGGCACGACCAAGACACACGCCCGUGGGCUCACCCCGUGUCCAAAACUUGAGCAUUCUGUUAAAAUAACACGGCCCAGACACACGCUCGUGUGUCCUACCCGUGUGCUAAUUUGACUUAAAGUUUUAGGUGCAGGGGACACACAGCCAUACCACACGCACACGCCCGUGUGUCUAACCAUGUAGACCUUAAUAAGCUAUUUUCCAAGCCUUUAGUCGCCCCUUUCUACUACUUGUGCCUAAUGGUUACCAAGUUUGAGAGAAAGCAUGAUUAUACACUUGUAAAUAAUCUUAAUGAAAAUAGUUGUAUGGAAACCUCAUAUCAUUGGUUUCAUACAUAAGUGGUUAUUUCCUAUUUAUUGUCAUGGGUUCCCAUAUUACAUUAACCCAUCUGAAAUUGGCUCAUUCAUGUGAUUCAUUGCCAAUUGAUAACAACCCAUCAUUUGUAAUUAAAACCAUGCAUAAAAUCGUAGGUCAUGGCCUACUUAAAGUAAGCCAAUUUUCAUGGCCAUAUACAAAGAGAUAAACAUAUUUUUUUUACAUGCCUUUUCUGGGCAAAUCAAAUGACACAUAUAACAAAGUACUCAAAAAUACUAUACAUGCCAUUGAACAAAAUAAACAGAGUCUUUAUACCAAAGCUUGUUUACUUAAUAGUGUGUUGUUUCUCCUACCGUCUUCCAAUCCUUAUUAGUCCUCAAGCUCUGUAAAAUAGGGAAAAGAGAAGGGUAAGCAUUUUCAUGCUUAGUAAGCUCAAAUAACCGAAGAGUAAACUUACCGAAUAAUUAGCAUACAUGCAUACUUAAAUCAUGAAAUCAUCCAAUAUGAAAUGAUUUCCUAUCACAUGCACUCAAUUAAUGAGUUAGUCACAUAAUCAUGUAUCAUGUAAUUUAACUAGAUGAGCUCAUCAUUCAACAUUUAAUUCAUACAUGUAUCUUACGUUAAUCUCGUUGAGUUUCUAUGAAAUCUCGAUGGAAUACCCAUUAUUCGUUAAUUCAUUCAAAUGAUCUUUCCAUAUAUGCACUCCCGCAAACCUCAUAUCAUAUGGCAGGAUUACCAGUCUAGGCUAAAUCCCCCAUAUUAUAUGAACUCAUAAGGUGAUGUCGGGAUUGCCAGUCUAAGUUAAAUCCCUUAUAACGACAAACACUCUUAAUGAGCUCGAAUCUGAGUUACCAGUCCAGGCUAAAUUCAGAUCCUAAUCGGAUUACCCGUCCGGGCUAAAUCCACAAUGCACUCAUAUUCUUCGGGAGGCUUAAUCAUUCAAGGAACACCCGUCCGGGCUAAAUCCUUACUGCAACACAUGCAGGAUCUCCUUUCACAUGUAAAACAUGGUUUAUCCAUCGAAUUCCCUUUUAAUCUCAACCGAGACGGUUAUCAACAAGUCAUUAUCAAAUAUGCAUUUCAUGCAUUUUCAUGCCAUUAAUAAUGCAAUUAUCAUGCAUUCAUAAAUCAUACAAUCAUGCAUAUUAGGGUUUUACUUUAAGUUAUCCAAACUUACUUGGUAACAGUUUCAGAGUUAUGUUUUGGUUAUUCCUAAACCUUGCGUUUACCUCGAUCGGCCUCCGGAAUUUUUUCCUCGGGGUCUAUAACAACAAAUUUAGCUCAUUAAUACCCCACAUUAUACAUUUCAAGUUUAAUAUCUACCCUCGAUCCAAAUGACUAUUUUGCCCCUAACCUUUUACAUUUUUAUGAUUUAGUCCCUAGGCUCGUAUAAUGAAACACAUGCAAUUUCUAUCUUACCCAAGCUUAACCGAACAUUUUUCUCUCUUAUGGCAACCCACAUGUUUCAUUAUUUUCCUCAUUUUUUCCACACAUUUACAUCUUUUGCAAAAUAGUCCCUAUAAGGGUUUCUCAUGAAAACCAACUUGGAAAAAAUGUUUAACACACAUUUAUCUUUCAUAUUCCUCCAUAAUCAAUCAAAAUACCAAUAACUCAUGCAUGGGUAAAUUUUUGAACAUGAACCCUAGCAUGAAAUAUGGGUAGAAAUGGAGAGAGCAAGCUACCGGGAUUUCAAAAAUACAAAGAACAUGAAAAACGGGGCUUGGGAGCACUUACUAUUGAGCUUGAAAAUUGAAGAAACCCUAGCUAUGGUGUCCUCCAAAUUUUGGUAGCUAUGGGAAGAAGAUGAGCAUAUUUUUGCUCCAUUUUUCCCUUUUUAUUUCAUUAAAAUGACAAAUUACCAAAAUGCCCUUAUGCCAUUUUUUUAAAAUUUCAUCCAUACAAGCCCAUUUUUGUCCAAAAAUUUAGAAUUUGGGCAAAUUGAUCUCCAAGACCUUCUAAUUCAUAAUCUAUAGAAAUUUCAUACAAAUUGCUUCUAGAAUCGAAGUUUUUCAAUUUAUUCAAGUUAUUCAAUUUAGUCCCUAAUUUCCAAUUGGACACCUUAUACUUAGAAUUUCUUCAUAAAACUUUAGCCAUGCAUAUACUCAUAUUCUAGGCCUCAUAAUAAUCAUAAAAUAAAUAUUUUUGAUGUCAAAUUUGUGGUCCCAAAACCUCUAUUCCUACUAGGCCCUAUUUCGGGAUGCUACAAAUACAAUAAAGGGCAAGAGACCUUUCGAAGCCUAGUUUGGACACAAACCAUCUGCUUCUCACUUGAAAGUGUUUGGUUGCAUUUGCUAUGCACUUGUACUAGCUAAGAAGAGAAGCAAGUUGGAGAGAAAGUCAUUGCUUGGAAUUUUUAUUGGCUAUAGCGGCACGACGAAAGGAUAUAGGGUUUUUGAUCUUUUCACUAAGAAGAUUGAUGUGAGUAGGGAUGUGGAGUUCGAUGAGAGCAAUGGAUGGAAAUAGGAUGGCACUAAUAAAAUUUUGCUUGAACAAAAUAAGCAAGAAAGAGAUCUACAAUUAGUUGAAGAUGAAGUUCAAAUUGAUAAAGGGUUUGAUGACUUUAGAAGAACAAGGCGUAUCACUGACAUUUAUCAAAGAAGUGAUGUAGCUGUUUUAGAGCCUUCAAGUUUUGAGGAAGCUACCAAAGAAGUCUUUUAGAAAGAAUCUAUGGAAAUAGAAAUGGACAUGAUACACAAAAAUGAUAAAUAGGAACUGGUUGAUAGACUAGUCCAAAAAGGGUCAUUAGUGUGAAAUGGGUAUUCAAGACCAUGUACAAUGUUGAUGGGUUUUUGAAUAAGCACAAGGCAAGACUAGUUGUGAAGGGUUACAACCAACAACAUUGAGUUGAUUUUUCAGAAACCUUUGCACCUGUUGCAAGGUUAGACACCAUAAAGAUCUUAUUUGCUUUAGUAGCUCAAAGGAAAUGGAAAAUACAUCUAUUAAAUGUAAAAUAUACUUUUUUGAAUAGUUUGGAAAAUACAUCUAUUAAAUGUAAAAUAUACUUUUUUGAAUAGUUUUCUUGAUGAGAUUUUUGUUGAACAACAAGAAGGCUUUAAAGUGGCUAGAGAGGAAAUCAAAAUCUACAAACUUAAGAAAGCCUUGUAUGGCCUAAAACAAGCUCUAAGAGACUAGUAUGACAGAAUUGAUACUUAUUCGUCUAACCUUGGGUUUGAAAAAAAGCAUUAAUGAGCCAACAUUUUAUGUAAAGAAGUUUGAAAAUGAGACUUUCCUAAUUGUGUUACUGUAUGUAGAUGAUUUGCUUGUUACUGGUAGUAGAAAGGAGUUGAUUGAUGAGUUCAAGAAGUUGAUGCAAGUUGUAUUUGAGAUGUUUGAUUUAGGGGAGAUGACCUACUUUCUUAGCAUGGAAGCAAUUCAGACUCAACAAGCCAUUUUUAUAAAUCAACAAGUAUUUUCCUUGACGAUUUUAAGUAAGUUCUAUAUGGAAAACUGUAAAUCAGCUAGCACUACAGUGGCACAAGGUGAAAAGCUUUCUAGCAAAGAUGACUAUGAAAAAGUGGAUAAAAAGGGGUAUAGAAGGCUUGUAGGUUGUUUGCUUUAUUUGACAGCAUCGAGGUCUGACAUUAUGUUUGCGGUCUGCCUUCUAUCAAGGUUUAAGCAUCAUUGUAAUGUAGCUCACUUCAAAGCAUGAUAAUACUUUGGAAUGACACAUUUUUAUGUAUUAAUUACAUAUUUAUUUUGAGUAUGAUCCUACUAAUUUGAGCUAUUUAUGGUUUUUUAUCUUGUAGGGACUAAAUUGAAGGAAAAAAGAAAUUAGGGAGCAAAAAACAUGAAUUUAAAGAUAAAUUGGCCCAGCAUGCGAAGUAGGAAAGAAGUGUCAAAAAUGAAAAGUAUGGAAGACUUGGGGGAAAAAGUGCAAAGAAGAGAUUUUAUAAACACAAGACUCUAUUUAGAUUUUAAUUAUAUUAGGAUAAUUGUUAAGAUUAUUAUUUAGAUUUAAUUUUAGUUUUUAUCUCUAUUUAUCUUUAUUUAUCUUUUAGAAUUUAGAUAGGAAUAGACUAGGUUUUCUAAGUAUUAUAAAUAGGGGAUAGAGUGAUAUAAAUUUCACUUAUCCCUUUCUAUAACACUCCCUCUCCUAAAAAGCUUAGCCUUUGUUCCUUUCAUUUAUUCAAUAAAAUUCCAUUUUUAUUAAGUUUAUUUCCUUUUCCCUAAAAAGCAUAAGACACUAAAUUCAUCUAGCAAAAGGUUGUCGAGAUUCCCCAAAAAAGGGUUCAUGAGGCUUAGAAUCCGUAUUUAGCCUUCUCAACAAGUAUUCUAUUUUUCCGCAUUACGGGACUGAUGCUUCCGUUCAUGUCCUUUUAAAAGUGAUCUUUUCAUCUUGUGCAAAGGAGGCUGCUUUGUAUGCUUUCGGAAGGUUGCACAGUCGGUUCGUUAGCUUAUUGCGUCAGUGGUUGUCGAGCCCAAGAGACAAAAUGGCGUGGCAUUCGCCAUGGAAAAGUGAUGAUCUAGUAUAAGACGGUCCUACAAAAGUGACGGUUGGCUAGAUUCAAGUUCCUCUAAAUCAUAAGUCUAAAAUCUAAGUGGAGCUGGUGGUCAUAGGUGUCCUCUUCCACUAUAACUGGCUUAUUCUAUUCUAGAAUGAUCACCUAAAAGCCUAAGAUUGAACCCAAGGAGGAUCGAGAUAACCGGAGGAUGGAAUCUCUCCAUCAAAAACUCUCUUUUCUCAACUCUAUUUAUUUUUACAAUUUCAAUUUCAAUUUGCGCAAUUUCAAUUCAAUCAAACUUUUAAUUCUGUUAUUUUAAUUUUUUUCCAAGUACGCCAUUUUUCUUGGGCACGACUUUGCUCGAGAUCUCAAGGAAUAGGAACUUGUACAAAUCCAAUCCCUGAGGAUUUGACCCUACUUCCCUUAUACUAUUCUUUUUCGUUAUUUUAUAAGGAUGAGUUAUUUUUUGUGCUUCCAACGACCGUAUCAAAUUUUGGCGUCGUUGCUGGGGAAUGGUAACGUACUUAUCUUGUUUCUUUUGUUUCUCAUGACCAGAUUUGCUGCAGGUAUUCUUGUGUUUGAUUCAGAAAUAGAGAAGACUACUAUAGCUAAUCAUAAGGAAACAAAGCUCCGUAAAAAGCAGUCAAGGGUGCUAGGAACUCAGAGUAACCCACAGUCAGAAAUAGAAGCAGACGAUGAGGUUGAGUCUAGGGUUAACAAAAACCCUACUCAAACACUAGAAAGCAAAAGAAUAGGAGUCGAUCCACCGGAGGAAGUGCUUAACGCGAAGGUUAACGGAAACUCGAAUCUAGCACAUCAACCUAUGGUUCAAACAAUCCGGCAAAUGGUCGAAGCUAUUGCAGAACAACCGCCGUUAUGCAUUGUGUAUCCUACAACGAAUACUGAUUUUAAACUGAAGACAAGAUUAAUCUAGUUACUACCGAAUUUUUGUGGGUUGCAAAACGAAAAUCCUCACAAACAUCUGAAAGAAUUUCAUAUGGUUUGUCUUAGCAUGAAAAUUCAGGGUGUAAUUGAAGAUCAGAUCAAAUUGCGUGCUUUCCCUUUUUCCCUAGCAGACUCUGCUAGGGAAUGGUUAUUUUUUCUACCCCUAGGUAUUACAACAUGGGCUGAUCUUUCUCAUUUUUUUCUCAACAGGUUUUUUUCCAGUAUCGCGUGCAAUUGAAUUAAGAAAGGAUAUUGUUAGGAUAAGUAAAAAGAUGUGGAGUCUCUUUACGACUAUUGGGAGCGAUUGAAGAAAUUGUGUGCAAGUUGCCCACAAUAUGGUAUAAUGGAUUCGACUAUUGGGAGCGAUUGAAGAAAUUGUGUGCAAGUUUCCCACAAUAUGGUAUAAUGGAACAAUCUCUACUCUAAUACUUUUAUGAAAGUUUAAAACCCAUAAAGAUGAAUAUGGUAGAUGCCGCAAGUGGAGGAGCAUUGGUCAACAUGACUCCCCAACAGGCAAGGGACUUAAUAUCCACUAUGGCUGCAAAUAUUCAGCAAUUCUGAGCCAAUCCUAAAUCCAUUAGGAUGGUUCACUAGCUAAGUAAUUCAACUUUAGAAGAUAAAGUUGAUAGAUUUACUAAUAUCGUGAAUUCUCUUUUUGCAGUAAAAACAGAACUAGCUCGAUUGUCCGAAAUUUGUACAACACCCAAACAUACAACUGAUGCAUGCCCUAGUUUGUGUGAUGAUACUAUGGCCCAUUUAGAUGCUGUAGGGAACUUUCUUAGACCACCCCAAAGUUGAUUUUACCCUUAUGAUAAUACCUAUAACCCAAGGUGGAAAUAUCAUCCUAACUUGAGUUACGAAGCUAACCUACGGUACAACCAACCAUACCAAAACCUGAUUCCACAACAGCCGCAAGAUUCAUGUACCUUUCUAGAAACCAUGGUCAAUAAAUUAGCAGCUAAUAUUCUUGAUUUCAAAAAGGAAACAAAAGAUUUUCAACAGAAAACUGAGGCGUCUAUAAGAGAAUUGACCACAUUAAUUGAGAAAAUGAAUUCACAAGGGAAGCUACAGGCACAAGCAGAAACUAAUCCAAGACAACACGCAAAUGUAGUGACGUUGCAAAGUGGAAAAGUACUAAAACCAAAUCCUAGCAAGAAUCUUGAUCAAGAUUCCUCCCAAAAAAAGUAGGAGAACAAUGAACAGGUCUGAAUGAAACCUCCAUUGCCCAUAAUUCAACCUCCAUUUCCAAGACGAUUGAACCAAUAUUUAAAAGGUAAAUAAGACAAAGAGAUCCUCGAAACAUUUAGAAAUGUCGAGAUCAAUAUACCACUGUUGGAUGCCAUCAAAUAAAUUUCACGAUAUGCUAAGUUCCUUAAAGAGCUCUGCACCACCAAGCGAAACUAGUAAUGAAAAGGUAAGCGUUGGUGAGAAUGUAUCCGCAGUGUUAUAGCGGAAGAUGGUAGCAAAAUGCAAAGAUAGGAGCAUGUUCGCAAUACCAUGCAAAAUAGGCUACUUAGGAAUUAAAAAAGCUGUGUGUGAUUUAGGAGCUUCCAUAAAUAUAAUGCUUUUUCCAUUUAUGAAUCACUUAAUGCUAGUUUUUUUGACGAAAAUAGGUGUUAUCAUUCAAUUAGCAGACAAGUCUAUUUUGCAUCCCGAAGGAGUCCUUGAGGACGUAUUAGUGAAAGUCAACGAACUUAUCUUUCCUACAGACUCUUAUGUAAUAAAAAUGGAAGAUGAUAACGCUCUUAGGUCUUCAAAUAUCUUCUUGGGGUGACAUUUCCUUAGAAUUGCAAACACUAAGAUUGACCUGCGUAGCAGAACCCUCAUGAUGGAGUUUGACGGGGGAGAUCGUAAAAUUUAAUGUUUAUGACACUAUUAGUCACCCGAGUGAAAUCUUGAACAUAAACCGUGUCGACAUAAUUGACUCAUCAGUAGAAGAAACUUUUGAGUCACCUUAUGAAGAUAAACUUGAAACAUUGUUUGAUGAUAAUUUCGAUUCAAGAUUUAUUUGCGAAUCUAUUAAUGAAUUAUUGGCUCCUAUGGAUACUAAACUUCUAUCUUCUGUUGUGCAGGCACCAAAUCUGGAAUUCAAACACUUCCCGAGCAUCUCAAAUACGCAUUUUUGGAGAAUGAUGAGACCAUUACUGACUUAAAAGGGAUUAACCCCUUGAAAGACACAUAAGAUUUUAUUCGAGAAAAAAACGAAACCAAAGCAGGAGGCGCAAGGACAAUUAAACCCAAAUAUGGUAGAUGUGGUAAAAAAAAAGAAUUUCAAAGCCCAUACGAAUCAAAGAAUUCAGCUGGAACGACCCCAAUACUAGUUGAGGCUUCAAGCUAACGAUGUUAAACAAGCGCUUGUUGAGAGACAGCCCAAUUUUUGUUUUUAUUUUUCUUUAUUUUAUUUUAUUUUAUUAUUUAUUACUUUAUUUUGUUUGGAUAUUAGUAAAUUUCUCUUCUUCUAUUUAGGUAAACCGAUAAGGAAAAAAUUCAGGAAUUGGCAUGCUUUCACAAACAUCCCUUAUUUUAUCCAUAUUCUAAGUACGAAUAGCGCAUCCCGAUUUAUACUUACCCAAAACCUACAUCCAAACACCCACCCUAUAGCCAAAUACCCUUUCUUAUACACCUUCAAACCCUAAACUUUUCCCCAUUUUUUCCCAAACAACCCUCCAGCUGUUGUUCCUCUUUUCCCUCACCUUCACAAACCGAUUUUUCCCACCACCAUGAUUAGGGCUAGAAGUCGUGCUGCCGCUGAACCCUCCUUUGCCAUCAACAGCCGCUAGCGUCAAUUCUGGGUGCCCCAACACGUCAAUAUAGCCAAUGAAUGCCUUCCCCUCCUUCCUCUCCUCCACCCGACACUGAACCUUCUCCUCCUUGUAGCUAUGCGUGAACAAUAGUGACUACAUGGGGAGUUUUUCUAAAACCUUUUUUCUU
This 32528-nucleotide long non-coding RNA is filed under the name Gossypium barbadense (sea-island cotton). RNAcentral describes it as "long non-coding RNA (GBAR_LNC007346)". Lineage: Eukaryota; Viridiplantae; Streptophyta; Magnoliopsida; Malvales; Malvaceae. The record is from RNAcentral.